CGAGCUUUCUUAAUCUUUACAAAACUAUGUAGUAUAUCACUUUUUUUUAUUGUGCAUGCCCGUGUCAGUUUUUGAGUGUCCGUCCAAGUUCCGCCGGAGCAGCAUUCUCGUUCUAAAGGAGCAACCUUUUAUACCGCAGGUGCUGCACACUUACAAGUGAGGGUCAGUUUUUGUGAGCCCGGCCAAGUUCCACUGGUGCAGCAUUCUUCUACAGGUGCAGCUUUUCAGACCCCACAUGCAGCCGCUUCGUUCCACACCUUCAAGUUCGGGUCAGUUGUUUUUCCAUCCAAGGUCCGCUGCUCCAGUAUUCUCGUUCCGCUGGUGCAGCCACUUUGUUCAGGUUCAGGUCCAGGUCAGUUUUAGUGUGUCCGUCCACGUUCCGCCGGAGCAGUCUUUUACCGCAGUGCAGCCGCUUUGUUCCACCCUUAUAAGUGAGUAUUGACAACGAUAAUAAUAGUUAUAAAACUUUAUUAUAUGAAUCUUUUGUUGUGC
Long non-coding RNA from Rhagoletis pomonella (apple maggot), 492 nucleotides. RefSeq lists it as uncharacterized. The record is from RefSeq and is a predicted model, not a curated record. The transcript is spliced from 3 exons. Lineage: Eukaryota; Metazoa; Arthropoda; Insecta; Diptera; Tephritidae.